This 67-nucleotide transfer RNA is filed under the name Diploderma micangshanense. RNAcentral's name for it is "Diploderma micangshanensis tRNA-Gly". The record is from RNAcentral. Lineage: Eukaryota; Metazoa; Chordata; Lepidosauria; Squamata; Agamidae.
ACCACUCUAGUACAACAAAUACCGUUGACUUCCAAUCAUCAAAUCUUAGCAACCCUAAGGAGUAGUA